ACCUUCGGGCCUCUUGCCAUCAGAUGUGCCCAGAUGGGAUUAGCUUGUUGGUGAGGUAACGGCUCACCAAGGCGACGAUCCCUAGCUGGUCUGAGAGGAUGACCAGCCACACUGGAACUGAGACACGGUCCAGACUCCUACGGGAGGCAGCAGUGGGGAAUAUUGCACAAUGGGCGCAAGCCUGAUGCAGCCAUGCCGCGUGUAUGAAGAAGGCCUUCGGGUUGUAAAGUACUUUCAGCGGGGAGGAAGGUGUUGUGGUUAAUAACCGCAGCAAUUGACGUUACCCGCAGAAGAAGCACCGGCUAACUCCGUGCCAGCAGCCGCGGUAAUACGGAGGGUGCAAGCGUUAAUCGGAAUUACUGGGCGUAAAGCGCACGCAGGCGGUCUGUCAAGUCGGAUGUGAAAUCCCCGGGCUCAACCUGGGAACUGCAUUCGAAACUGGCAGGCUUGAGUCUUGUAGAGGGGGGUAGAAUUCCAGGUGUAGCGGUGAAAUGCGUAGAGAUCUGGAGGAAUACCGGUGGCGAAGGCGGCCCCCUGGACAAAGACUGACGCUCAGGUGCGAAAGCGUGGGGAGCAAACAGGAUUAGAUACCCUGGUAGUCCACGCCGUAAACGAUGUCUACUUGGAGGUUGUGCCCUUGAGGCGUGGCUUCCGGAGCUAACGCGUUAAGUAGACCGCCUGGGGAGUACGGCCGCAAGGUUAAAACUCAAAUGAAUUGACGGGGGCCCGCACAAGCGGUGGAGCAUGUGGUUUAAUUCGAUGCAACGCGAAGAACCUUACCUGGUCUUGACAUCCACGGAAGUUUUCAGAGAUGAGAAUGUGCCUUCGGGAACCGUGAGACAGGUGCUGCAUGGCUGUCGUCAGCUCGUGUUGUGAAAUGUUGGGUUAAGUCCCGCAACGAGCGCAACCCUUAUCCUUUGUUGCCAGCGGUUAGGCCGGGAACUCAAAGGAGACUGCCAGUGAUAAACUGGAGGAAGGUGGGGAUGACGUCAAGUCAUCAUGGCCCUUACGACCAGGGCUACACACGUGCUACAAUGGCGCAUACAAAGAGAAGCGACCUCGCGAGAGCAAGCGGACCUCAUAAAGUGCGUCGUAGUCCGGAUUGGAGUCUGCAACUCGACUCCAUGAAGUCGGAAUCGCUAGUAAUCGUGGAUCAGAAUGCCACGGUGAAUACGUUCCCGGGCCUUGUACACACCGCCCGUCACACCAUGGGAGUGGGUUGCAAAAGAAGUAGGUAGCUUAACCUUCGGGAGGGCGCUUACCACUUUGUGAUUCAUGACUGGGGUGAAGUCGUAACAAGGUAACCGUAGGGGAACCUGCGGUUGGAUCACCUCCUUACCUUAAAGAA
RNAcentral lists this ribosomal RNA (1348 nucleotides) under Salmonella enterica subsp. enterica serovar Bredeney. Its description in RNAcentral is "bacterial SSU rRNA". It matches the Rfam family "Bacterial small subunit ribosomal RNA", at positions 199 to 1533 of the family's 1533-position model. The record is from RNAcentral. Lineage: Bacteria; Pseudomonadati; Pseudomonadota; Gammaproteobacteria; Enterobacterales; Enterobacteriaceae.